GAUGAAUGCUGGCGGCGUGCUUAACACAUGCAAGUCGAGCGGUAAGGCCCUUCGGGGUACACGAGCGGCGGACGGCUGAGUAACGCGUGGGAACAUGCCCUAAAGCGAGGAAUAACUGCCCGAAAGGGUGGCUAAUGACGCAUAUGAUCUUCGGAUUAAAGGAUUUAUCCGCUUUAGGAGUGGCCUGGGUACGAUUAGCUUGUUGGUGAGGUAAUGGCUUACCAAGGCGACGAUCGUUAGCUGGUCUGAGAGGAUGACCAGCCAGACUGGAACUGAGACACGGUCCAGACUCCUACGGGAGGCAGCAGUGAGGAAUCUUCCACAAUGGGCGAAAGCCUGAUGGAGCAACGCCGCGUGCAGGAUGAAGGCCCUCGGGUCGUAAACUGCUUUUAUGAGUGAAGAAUAUGACGGUAACUCAUGAAUAAGCACCGGCUAACUACGUGCCAGCCGCCGCGGUA
Molecule: ribosomal RNA, 458 nt
Filed under: uncultured bacterium
Lineage: Bacteria
Description: partial 16S ribosomal RNA
Rfam family: Bacterial small subunit ribosomal RNA
Source: RNAcentral